GAUCCUGGCUCAGGACGAACGCUGGCGGCGUGCCUAAUACAUGCAAGUAGAACGCUGAAGAGAGGAGCUUGCUCUUCUUGGACGAGUUGCGAACGGGUGAGUAACGCGUAGGUAACCUGCCUUGUAGCGGGGGAUAACUAUUGGAAACGAUAGCUAAUACCGCAUAACAAUAGGUGACACAUGUCAUUUAAUUUGAAAGGGGCAAUUGCUCCACUACAAGAUGGACCUGCGUUGUAUUAG
RNAcentral lists this ribosomal RNA (240 nucleotides) under uncultured bacterium. Its description in RNAcentral is "partial 16S ribosomal RNA". It matches the Rfam family "Bacterial small subunit ribosomal RNA", at positions 15 to 244 of the family's 1533-position model. The record is from RNAcentral.